ACCUUUACCAUUUUUUAACUAAUCUAUCAUUCCUCAAACAGGUAAAAAAUUCACAAAAUGUGUAAAAUCCUCAUCCAAGUAAGAUUUGUGCAAGGCCUAAUGGAUGAUCCGCCUGUGCAUGCUGUAUGAUUUGACUUGAAGGGGAUACCCAACCAGUGUGGGAAAAAACCCCUAUCCUUUCCAGUAUUGUUCUUUGACUAAAACUGAGUUUCCCACAGCUUUUUCCUACCCCUGCCCUGGAUGCAUUUUAUCUAAAUACCCCCUCCCUGUUCUGCAUACACAACCUAAAACGCACUUCCAACACAUUAAAGAGUUUACACCAAACCUUGUGUGACAAAUCACAUGUGGGCAGUGCUUUCAUGUUCUCCUUCUCUCAGUGCUUGCUCUUGAUUGUAUGUGUCACACUCCUCAUGUGUUGGUAGUGAGUGGGCAGUGUAUAUGGUCAGCUGAUCGCAUGCUGCUUGUAUCGCAAGAGAAGAAGCAACAAGAGAGCUGCUGUUUGAAAAGGACAAAAAAGCUGCAUUUUGGAAUAAACCUAAAUUACCUCCGAACCCUGUGGCUUCAACUGUUUGCAGAUCCUGUAACCCAGAUAAUGGAUAGAAUCAAAUUCAACUCCUAGUUGAAGUUGUGGCCACAGUUUUCAAACUAUAUUUCCUAAUCACGAAUUGUGAUUAAUUAAAAAAAUACUAAUAUUUACUUAUUUCCUCCCUUAUGUCUGUUUGCAGUUCCAGCUCAUCUGGCACCCAGAUUCCAAAGACAGAGGUACCUCCUCAAACUGUAUAGAAAAUAUUGUAUAUACUUAAAAGAGAGGUCGGCACAGGAGCCACGCCAGCGAAUAUACACCAUGGCCAUUCCUCUUACGGCCAAUAUACCUCUGCCAGCUGGAUGAUCAAGACACAGGAUUUUCCAACCUGGUUUCACUAGGUUUCCCACCGAAUUCUGUAAAAAAUCUUAAGUGAGAAAAUAUCUAUCUAUUGAUUGUUCAGUAUUCUGUGAGUGUUGGGACUAAAAGCUUGUUUUAGACCAAAAAAAAGAAGAAGAAAUCAUAAAAGAAAAAUUCCAACCACAAGACUUGAUGUGGUACUUUUAAUCAAACAAAUGAAACAAUUAUUGCUGUCCCUCUUGCUUAAAUUUCACUUCUGUGAAACAAUAAAAUUAAAAGCAUGAUUAAAUAUUUAAAGACUAGCAAAAUCUCCAGGUCGAAACAAAGAAGUGCAUGCAUUGAUCAAUUGUAAGAACUGUCUUUUGUCUUUAUUUCUGUUGAUAUCUACUUUUAUGCACCUUAGCAAAAUGCUAACCUAUUAAUAGAAUAGACCAAAUAUAACCUAAAAAUGAAAUAGCUAGCACAAUAUCUUAAUGAAAAAAUGUAAAGACAACAUUCAGUAAUGUAUUUUAUUUUGAAAAUGCUUUAAAAAAUACAAGAAUGGAUGAAAUGUGUAGUAAUGUAUUGAUUUGGGGUUUACAAUUUCUGUUUUAUUUAAAAGGAAAAUUAAAAAUGAAAUUAUCUGUAAAAGCCUAAACAAUGAGACCACUGUUUCAAAUAAAGGUCCUGUCAACUCAA
Morone saxatilis (striped sea-bass) is the source of this 1561-nucleotide long non-coding RNA. RefSeq lists it as uncharacterized. The transcript has 2 exons. NCBI's taxonomy places the organism in Eukaryota, Metazoa, Chordata, Actinopteri, Moronidae. The record is from RefSeq and is a predicted model, not a curated record.